GUGACCGUGGCGGUGUAAGUGGACGCGGCAGUGGAGGAGGAGGAUGAGAUAGCCAACACUGUUUUUUUAUAUAUAUAUAUUUUUAAUUGGGGUAGCCCCCAAAAUAUUGGGACAUAUAAAAAAAGCCAACUCUGUUCCGCAGAGUAACUCUUGACAUUAUAGUUGCGCAGGCACUUUGUUGACUCUAGAGAACCUCCGACCGAUCGCACAUCCCCGUGGCGGCGACUUUGCAUGCGGAUGUCAUCUAUAUCAACUUUCGAUGCCAGUUUCUGCGCCUACCAUGGUGACCAUGGGUUAACGGGGAAUCAGGUUUCCAUUCAAUACGGUGACCCUGAGAAAAGGCUACCAAAUGCGAGGAAGGCAGCAGGCGCGCAAAUGGCCCACUCCCGACGCGGGAAGGUAGUGACGACAAAUAACAAUACAGGACUCUUUAGAUGCCCUGUAAUUGUAAUGAGUCCACUUGAAAUCCUUUAACUCUGAUCAAUUGGAGGGAAGUCUGGUGCAGAGACACUGACCCGUGCGUGCUGCAGCUGAAACUCCACUAUCGCCUGCUGCUA
This 557-nucleotide ribosomal RNA is filed under the name Pelobates cultripes (western spadefoot toad). It matches the Rfam family "Eukaryotic small subunit ribosomal RNA", at positions 171 to 587 of the family's 1831-position model. The record is from RNAcentral. Lineage: Eukaryota; Metazoa; Chordata; Amphibia; Anura; Pelobatidae.